GGUCCCGUAGCUCAGCUGGAUAGAGCAACAGAUUUCUAAUCUGUGGGUCACAGGUUCGAAUCCUGUCGGGAUCACCA
RNAcentral lists this transfer RNA (77 nucleotides) under Chitinophagales bacterium. Its description in RNAcentral is "tRNA-Arg". It matches the Rfam family "tRNA". From Rfam's summary of the family: Transfer RNA (tRNA) molecules are approximately 80 nucleotides in length. Their secondary structure includes four short double-helical elements and three loops (D, anti-codon, and T loops). Lineage: Bacteria; Pseudomonadati; Bacteroidota; Chitinophagia; Chitinophagales. The record is from RNAcentral.